This 509-nucleotide ribosomal RNA is filed under the name uncultured bacterium. RNAcentral describes it as "bacterial SSU rRNA". It matches the Rfam family "Bacterial small subunit ribosomal RNA", at positions 28 to 582 of the family's 1533-position model. The record is from RNAcentral.
AUUGAACGCUGGCGGCAUGGCUAAAACAUGCAAGUCGAACGGGCCCGCAAGGGCUAGUGGCGAAAGGGUUAGUAAUACGAUCGAACGUACCCUAAGGUGGAGGAUAGGCAUGGGGAAACUGUGCGUAAGACUCCAUGUGGUCUCCGGACCAAAAAUUUAUUGCCUUUGGAGCGGCGAUCGUCCUAUCAGCUAGUUGGCGGGGUAAUGGCCCACCAAGGCGAAGACGGGUAGCAGGUGUGAGAGCACGACCUGCAACAUCGGGACUGAGACACUGCCCGGACUCCUACGGGAGGCUGCAGUAACGAAUCUUCCGCAAUGGGCGAAAGCCUGACGGAGCAAUGCCGCGUGCGGGAUGAAGCGCCUAUGGCGUGUAAACCGCUGUCAGGGGACGGAACCAAUGAUUGUCCCCAGAGGAAGUGGCGACUAACUCUGUGCCAGCAGUCGCGGUAAUACAGAGGCCACGAGCGUUAAUCGGAAUCACUGGGCUUAAAGGGUGCGCAGGCGGCUCG